Molecule: unclassified non-coding RNA, 339 nt
Filed under: fungal sp.
Lineage: Eukaryota; Fungi
Description: partial internal transcribed spacer region
Rfam family: Eukaryotic small subunit ribosomal RNA (bases 1-46)
Source: RNAcentral
AAGUCGUAACAAGGUUUCCGUAGGUGAACCUGCGGAAGGAUCAUGAGCAGGCAUCCAAACGUUAAAACUCUUAAGCCCUCCCGGGGGUAGAGAGUAAGUCAUUGUCUUAACAGGUUUUGAGUUAGGGACGUCCCCCACUACGGGACUUGUGCAGAAGAGAGUAUUGACCUUGUGGCCCCAAACUACCAUCAAUCCUAAAGUGUUUGGUGAAUUGUGCAAGGGCGUCGCAGUCAAUGCUCGCUAGAGGCCCACACGGCCACCACGACCUACUACGUGGCCUACGUCAGCCCCCGAGCAUGGCAAACCGAACAACUGUUAACAAUGGAUUCCUUGGUUCUC